CAAACAUACCUACAAAACAAAUUAAUGAGAUCUUGGUACCCAAACCAUUUUGGGUCCUUGUGCGUUAGGUGCGACAUAGUGUUGUUGUGGUUGAUUUGCACUAAAAUGCCUAUGUCGGGUGAAACAAGCAGGAGCUAUAUGCCCUACUUUAAUCCAAUAGUGACAAAUUACAUUAGGAUUAUGCAUUCUUCUAGGAUGAUAGUAAUUUGGAGGUCUA
RNAcentral lists this long non-coding RNA (217 nucleotides) under Nicotiana benthamiana. RNAcentral describes it as "long non-coding RNA (NBEN_LNC000532)". Lineage: Eukaryota; Viridiplantae; Streptophyta; Magnoliopsida; Solanales; Solanaceae. The record is from RNAcentral.